AGGAAAUGUAAUUUGUUAGGAUGAAGGCCACCCAUUGGUCUUUGUUAACACUACGUGAGACGGGCCUCAUGUUCCCUGUUUUACAGAUGGGUAAACUGAGGCCUAGGGGGUUGAUGACCUUACCCGAGAUCUUCCAUCUUGUAAGUGAAGCUGAGAUUCACACCAGGUUUUCUAGCACACAAGCAUCUUGUUUUUCUCUAUUCCAUGCUGCCUAGAUUCAUAAAUCACUCUCUUGUUUCUUGUAACUGGGAGGUGUGGGCUCUGGACCAGAGCACUCUCCUGGGUCCAGGUGCUGGUGGGUGACUGUGUCCUCUGCGAUCACGUUGACAAGCUCAGGCAGGAUCUGUAUGACGAUGGUGACAAAGAAGCAGGAUGCUGAGUCUGGGCAAGGGGCGAUGCUUUCCGCCUGCGUUUGGCACACCACCUGGAGAAGCGGCCUGUACUCUCAGAUGGCUUGAUUCAAUGGACGCGGAGGCACGUCCCAGCUCUGGUUUUGUGACCGCGACAGUUGCAUCCCUUUCCUUGGGCUCUCCUGUCAAAGUCCAGGUUUCGGACCUUGUUCAAAUCUAGUGUGAUGGGCUCCAUUUGACUUGAUGGAUGAUACAAACGGCAUUAUGUGGAUGAUGAUCUGCUCAUGUAUGUGUGACGGGGUCACCAUGCUGUACAGUGGAAAAUUGACAGAACACUGUAAACCAGCUAUAAUGAAAAAAAUAAAAAUCAUUAUAUAAAAAAAUAGGAUGAUGCAAACAGACAGUGUGUCAGGGUGGGGGGUGCUUUUUCUUGGAGGCUUGAGGGCACAUUAUAGGUUGAGCUGUGUCCCCCUCCAGAUUCAUAUGUUGAAGUGUUGGCCCCCAGUACCUCAGAAUGUGACAUUGUUUGGAUACAGGGUCACAGCAGAUGUCACUACUUAAGAUGAGUUCAUACCAGGAUGUGAGGACCCUAAUUCGAUAUGACUGGUGUCCUUAUAAAAAAAAGGGGGGGGUGUUCCUGUUGUGGCGCGGUGGAAACAAACCCAACUAGUAUCCAUGAGGAUGUAGGUUCGAUCCCUGGCCUCACUCAGUGGGUUAAGGAUCCCAGCGUUGCCGUGAGCUGUGGUGUAGGGCAGCUCGGAUUUAGCAUUGCUGUGGCUCUGCCGGCGUGCCCCACAGCCACAGCAACGCAGGAUGGGAGUUGCGUCUGCGACCUACAUCUCAGCUCAUGGCAACACCGGCUCCUUAACCCACUGAGCGAGGCCAGGGAUCGAACCCGAGUCCUCAUGGACACUAGUCAGAUUCAUUACUGCUGAGACACAAGAGGAACUCCCUUAAUUGGGUUUUUUAAAGGGAAACACUUUGUCCAUUAGGGCUGGAAACAUAUUUUCGUCAAGACCAUAAGGCGAC
Molecule: long non-coding RNA, 1379 nt
Filed under: Sus scrofa (pig)
Lineage: Eukaryota; Metazoa; Chordata; Mammalia; Artiodactyla; Suidae
Description: lncRNA (ENSSSCG00025025189.1)
Source: RNAcentral